This 451-nucleotide ribosomal RNA is filed under the name uncultured bacterium. RNAcentral's name for it is "partial 16S ribosomal RNA". It matches the Rfam family "Bacterial small subunit ribosomal RNA", at positions 354 to 796 of the family's 1533-position model. The record is from RNAcentral.
GUGGGGAAUAUUGCGCAAUGGGGGAAACCCUGACGCAGCGACGCCGCGUGAGCGAAGAAGGCCUUAGGGUUGUAAAGCUCUGUUUUAAGGGACGAAUGUCGUGGGGAGUAAUAUGCUCUGCGAAUGACGGUACCUUAAGAGGAAGCCCCGGCUAACUACGUGCCAGCAGCCGCGGUAAGACGUAGGGGGCGAGCGUUGUCCGGAAUUACUGGGCGUAAAGAGCACGUAGGCGGGAACUUAAGUCAGGUGUGAAAGACCGGGGCUCAACUCCGGGGUUGAACUUGAAACUGGGUUUCUUGAGGGCAGGAGAGGAAAGCAGAAUUCCUGGUGUAGCGGUGAAAUGCGUAGAAAUCAGGAGGAAUACCAGUGGCGAAGGCGGCUUUCUGGACUGACCCUGACGCUGAGGUGCGAAAGCGUGGGUAGCAAACAGGAUUAGAAACCCGAGUAGUCC